GGAUUAGAUACCCUGGUAGUCCACGCCGUAAACGAUGAGUGCUAGUUGUCAGCAGGCAUGCCUGUUGGUGACGCAGCUAACGCAUUAAGCACUCCGCCUGGGGAGUACGGCCGCAAGGUUAAAACUCAAAGAAAUUGACGGGGGCCCGCACAAGCGGUGGAGCAUGUGGUUUAAUUCGAAGCAACGCGCAGAACCUUACCUACGCUUGACAUGCCCGGUUUGGUCGCCAGAGAUGGCUUCCUUCAUUUAGUUGGCCGGUGCACAGGUGCUGCAUGGCUGUCGUCAGCUCGUGCCG
Molecule: ribosomal RNA, 295 nt
Filed under: uncultured bacterium
Lineage: Bacteria
Description: partial 16S ribosomal RNA
Rfam family: Bacterial small subunit ribosomal RNA
Source: RNAcentral